UCGCAAGUCCGCCUUGUCGCUGCCCGACCGUCGGGGAGAGGAAAGUCCGGGCAACACAGAGCACCGCGCAAGCUAACGGCUUGAUAUCCGUGAGGGUAUAGGAGCGUAACAGAGAAUGACCGCCUGUACGGGACUUGGCGUUUCGUGUGCAGGCAAGGGUGAAAAGGCGGGGUAAGAGCCCACCGCGGAGGCAGCGAUGUCGUCCGGCCGUACGUCUCGCGGGUUGCAAGACCAUGUAUACCGGCAAUCAAGGGCUGCUCGUCCGAUGCCGGGGGGUAGGUUGCUUGAGACGGCGGGAGACCGCCGCCCUAGAUAAAUGACAAGGGCCCCGGAAGGGGUACAGAACCCGGCUUACAGGACUUGCGAUUAA
This is a non-coding RNA of Alistipes sp. CHKCI003, 370 nucleotides long. It matches the Rfam family "Bacterial RNase P class A". From Rfam's summary of the family: Ribonuclease P (RNase P) is a ubiquitous endoribonuclease, found in archaea, bacteria and eukarya as well as chloroplasts and mitochondria. Lineage: Bacteria; Pseudomonadati; Bacteroidota; Bacteroidia; Bacteroidales; Rikenellaceae. The record is from Rfam.